This 363-nucleotide long non-coding RNA is filed under the name Nicotiana benthamiana. Its description in RNAcentral is "long non-coding RNA (NBEN_LNC004650)". The record is from RNAcentral. Lineage: Eukaryota; Viridiplantae; Streptophyta; Magnoliopsida; Solanales; Solanaceae.
UUGUUGUGACUCAACCCCUCUGGUGGUAGCUUAUCUUCAUGAAAAGUGAUCUUGUGACUUUCCAAUACCUGUCCUACCAUGUUAGCUAUCUCUCCUCCGGUAAUGUCGCUUGGUAUAUAUGCCUCACUUAGCACCCUUAAUAGGGAAUUCUUGUGUGCAUCGGAACUUUAUAGCAAAGAUAGGAUAGAAAUUUGUACCGAUGUUUUGUUGUUGAUCAAUGACUGGUAUUCUUUGGCUUGUAUCUUUCUCUAGAGAUUGUCGGGCCACGUUUUAGUGAUGGUUGGCCAACUAGAGGCCUACUUGCUUGACUCAGCCAAAUAUUCUGGGGUAUAACCCUAUCGGUUCUCGUCAUACCUUGUGCCG